GGGCUAACGGUCGUGAUCGGAAUGCAGUCGACGGUGAAGCAGAGCUUGCUCUGUGGAUCAGUGGCGAACGGGUGAGUAACACGUGAGCAACCUGCCCCUGACUCUGGGAUAAGCGCUGGAAACGGCGUCUAAUACUGGAUAUGUGACGUGACCGCAUGGUCUGCGUCUGGAAAGAAUUUCGGUUGGGGAUGGGCUCGCGGCCUAUCAGCUUGUUGGUGAGGUAAUGGCUCACCAAGGCGUCGACGGGUAGCCGGCCUGAGAGGGUGACCGGCCACACUGGGACUGAGACACGGCCCAGACUCCUACGGGAGGCAGCAGUGGGGAAUAUUGCACAAUGGGCGGAAGCCUGAUGCAGCAACGCCGCGUGAGGGAUGACGGCCUUCGGGUUGUAAACCUCUUUUAGCAGGGAAGAAGCGAAAGUGACGGUACCUGCAGAAAAAGCGCCGGCUAACUACGUGCCAGCAGCCGCGGUAAUACGUAGGGCGCAAGCGUUAUCCGGAAUUAUUGGGCGUAAAGAGCUCGUAGGCGGUUUGUCGCGUCUGCUGUGAAAUCCGGAGGCUCAACCUCCGGCCUGCAGUGGGUACGGGCAGACUAGAGUGCGGUAGGGGAGAUUGGAAUUCCUGGUGUAGCGGUGGAAUGCGCAGAUAUCAGGAGGAACACCGAUGGCGAAGGCAGAUCUCUGGGCCGUAACUGACGCUGAGGAGCGAAAGGGUGGGGAGCAAACAGGCUUAGAUACCCUGGUAGUCCACCCCGUAAACGUUGGGAACUAGUUGUGGGGUCCAUUCCACGGAUUCCGUGAC
Molecule: ribosomal RNA, 800 nt
Filed under: Microbacterium sp. JSM 2215101
Lineage: Bacteria; Bacillati; Actinomycetota; Actinomycetes; Micrococcales; Microbacteriaceae
Description: bacterial SSU rRNA
Rfam family: Bacterial small subunit ribosomal RNA
Source: RNAcentral